This 478-nucleotide ribosomal RNA is filed under the name uncultured bacterium. RNAcentral's name for it is "partial 16S ribosomal RNA". It matches the Rfam family "Bacterial small subunit ribosomal RNA", at positions 28 to 523 of the family's 1533-position model. The record is from RNAcentral.
GACGAACGCUGGCGGCGUGCUUAACACAUGCAAGUCGAACGGUAAGGCCCUUCGGGGUACACGAGUGGCGAACGGGUGAGUAACACGUGGGUGAUCUGCCCUGCACUUCGGGAUAAGCCUGGGAAACUGGGUCUAAUACCGGAUAGGACCACUGCCUGCAUGGGUGGUGGUGGAAAGCUUUUGCGGUGUGGGAGGGGCCCGCGGCCUAUCAGCUUGUUGGUGGGGUGAUGGCCUACCAAGGCGACGACGGGUAGCCGGCCUGAGAGGGUGACCGGCCACACUGGGACUGAGAUACGGCCCAGACUACUACGGGAGGCAGCAGUGGGGAAUAUUGCACAAUGGGCGCAAGCCUGAUGCAGCGACGCCGCGUGAGGGAUGACGGCCUUCGGGUUGUAAACCUCUUUCAGCACCGACGAAGCGCAAGUGACGGUAGGUGCAGAAGAAGGACCGGCCAACUACGUGCCAGCAGCCGCUGUAA